CAGCUUCUGGAGCCAGAAUAUCAUGUUCCAUCUGUUGCUUACUAGCUGUGUGCCAUUGGGCUUAGUGUCUCUGUGGCUCAGUUACCUUACUGUGAAAUGAGGCUAUUGUGAGGAUUAAAUGAGUUCAUGCUUGUAACACAUUUAAAGUGGUGCAGUCAAGGCUCUGUAAGUGUUGGCUAGUAUGAUUACUCCCUUUUUGGCUUGGGAGAGAGAGGAAGAGGGCUGAGGCCAUGGGCAGCUUGAAGACUUUGUGGAUCUUGGGCUUCUGGUUUAAAAAUGAACUCAGGUGAAGAAACUGGGUCUCAAAUCAGUGUUCCUAAGAACCAAAUAAAUACUAGUCGAAGUGAAAGUGAAGUUUCAGCCAGGAAGGUCAACAGACGUCUUCAAGAGUGCUUUGAAAACAAGUGGGAAGAAAAUUACCUCCUUGUGGAAAACCUACGGGGCCCUGUCACCUGGAAUAGGUCUAUGAUUUUGGUUUUCACUCAGGCCUCAUUUCCCUUAUAAGAAGAAUGAAAUAAGCUAAUGCAUAAAAGUGGCUUAGCAGACGGCCUGCCACAUGGUCAACUUAAAUAAAAAUGAUUAUUUGCUCUAGGGGGAUUUGGUGAGAUAAUUGUCAAUAAUUGAGAAAUAAGGGAAAUAAGAUUUUUUUCUGAUACUUAACCUUGAAAUUAAAUUCAAAUAAAUGGUGGAACAUUCAUACAAUAUAAUAAUACAUACCUGUUAAAAUGAUAACAUACAUUUGUAGUUAUUGAUAUGGAAAAAGGUCUAUAGAAUAUUGUUGCAUAAAAAAGUAGGUUAUAAAAAUCAUGUAUAAUGUGACUUUUCUUUUUCUUUUUAAAUUCACG
RNAcentral lists this long non-coding RNA (845 nucleotides) under Equus caballus (horse). Its description in RNAcentral is "lncRNA (ENSECAG00000053000.1)". The record is from RNAcentral. Lineage: Eukaryota; Metazoa; Chordata; Mammalia; Perissodactyla; Equidae.